UUUUUCUCAUUUCCCUGCUUUCAUUUCAACGUUCCCUCUCGUCUCGUUCCUGUCUUCCGUGUCUCUAAACCUGUGAACGCUCCUAUUAUCACGUUCCCCUCUCGUUCUCUCUCGUUCUCUCUCGUUCCCUCUCAUCUCUAAUUUCUCGGCACUCCUCCCUCCAAACACUCCGGGAACACUCGCCCGUGCUUUCACCAGCUCCAGUGCACCACUUCUGUUUUUUUGAGUUUUCGCAUUUCCAAAACCCUAAUCACGAAUUCACAUUGAAACCACAUUGGGGUGGUGAAGAGGUCAAUGUUCGGUGGCGGAGGGGAGGAGGCGUUGGCGGCGCGGCUUGGCAUGGUGACGCCGUCGCUGAUGAACCCCGCAACGUCGUUGGUGAUAUCCGGGGAGGUGUCAGCGGCGGUGAGGGAGGAGAGGGGACCCGCGCAGCCGCAGUAGAGUCAGCAGGAGACGCGGGAGUUCAUAGCGAUACGGGCGGAGAUGGAGAGGGACUUCACUGCGUCCAAGCGGAACAAGACGCUCUGGGAAGUGGUGAGUUCGAAGAUGAGGGAGAGAGGGUUCAGGAGGAGCCCCGAACAGUACAAAUGCAAGUGGAAGAACCUCGUUAAUCGCUAUAGGAAGAUCAUUUUAUUCACCCGAUCUUGGAAGAAGACAACCUUUAGGUGAGGGAUUGGAGAGCUGGCGUGGUUUCUACCAGAGUAUUCGUCCAACUCAGAUGGGGUUGUCACUGAAUAUUGAUAUGUCCUCCACUGCUUUUAUUGAGCCACUGCCAGUUAUAGAUUUUGUUACCCAAUUGCUGAAAUGUUUCUGCUCGACCUGUGUCUGAUGCUGAUCGAGUGAAGCCAUACAGAAAUAAAGAGAACAUGAGCAGCAGAGUGUUGGAAGCUUCAAAGCAAAGUGACAAAGGGAAGAGAAAAUCUGGACUUCCAGAGGCCCCAACUAAUCUGUUUGAUGAUAGCAAAUGAGGCUUAUCAACAUGCUUCACUUUUCAGUUUCCUGGGGGUUCUGAUCUCUUUCUCAUUGUAUUCUCUUUUGUUUUAAUCAGCUCAAUCAUGUUUGCAACAACUUUCAUUGUGUGGAAAGUUGGUGCAAUCCAUUUCAAUCAGUACUGAGAUGUCCUCUUUAAGAAUUCAACAUAAAUGUAGUUUAGAAAAGCUUCAGCUGCUUCAAACUUCAUCAACUCAUGCUGUUUCUUAAUCAUCAGUUUUUCAUUUCUUAGGUGCUCA
Vigna angularis (adzuki bean) is the source of this 1229-nucleotide long non-coding RNA. RefSeq lists it as uncharacterized. The record is from RefSeq and is a predicted model, not a curated record. The transcript is spliced from 3 exons. NCBI's taxonomy places the organism in Eukaryota, Viridiplantae, Streptophyta, Magnoliopsida, Fabales, Fabaceae.